CGGGGGGGGCUGUGCCUGCCUCUGUGACUUGUUUGUAGAGGCUGCGUGAGUCGCUGAAGAAGAGCCCGCGUUCGUGUGCAGCAGAACGCGUCCCCCGCCCGGCGACCACGGCGGGCGCAGGGCCCCUCCUGGACACUCUGCUCAGCGUGACUCACACGGUGGCGCGUCCGGUCCCCGCGCGGAGGCCCCCGUGCCAGUCCUAUGGAGGGGGCGGCUGGGAGCGGAGGCCGGCCGCGUGGGGCCUGUCGGCAGGGAUGAGAGCUGCCCAAACGGCACAGAGGAGGCAGAACCGCGGACGUGCGUCCCGGCAGCCGUCGGGAAGUGCGCGUGAGCCGCUCGAACAUACAAACGGCAUCACGCGGGUGGCAGUGUCUCUCCUUGACCGCUUGGUUCCCGUUGGGCCAUAAAGCUGGGAGAAAUUUGCUCGGUGGAAAGACUUCGCCAGCAGACGGCUAAUGGUUUCAGGACAUCGGUAACUGCAAGCUGGAUGCCAGAAAAGGGAUUUCUCUGCGUCAACAAGAAACGGACGGGUCUCUCGGCCAGGAUGGAGUGGAUGACGCAGCCAGAGAGGCGCAGAAGAAGCCCCAGAGUCGAGACCGCGAAGCAAAGGUGCCAACAGAUUCGCACACACAUGACCACGAACGGAGACCAGGCCUUCCCUGUGGCUCCACCCGGCAGCGGCCGUGGGGGCCUCACAGAACCGGCUGGGGUACAGACAGGAGCCUCGGUUCUGCUGAGAAGCCUGCCCUCUGCGGGCAGAGCUGGCCAGGGGCAGCCUCCGGGUCACCGCGGCCCGCUCGGGGAUCCAGCCUGCACCGGGAUGGGGCGGACAGACUGAUGGAGCCCCCCCUCCCCCGCCAUCCACAGCAGUGAUGCAGAUGAGCCGGUGAGCUUCUCCAAGCUUCUCCUGUCGGGGGGCCAGGCGCUAAAUCCUUGGGCCAGACGGGCCCUCCGGCAACUCUCUGAGUCGGCCCCGCAGGGCAAAGGCGGCCACAGACCACGGGCACACGGAUGCGAGGCAGCCGCGCCCCGGUGAGCCUCCACUAGGGAGAACAGGCCGCAAGCUGGCCCGUGGGCCACCGUUGCCAAGCCCCCGACCUAAAACGCCGCGAGUCCCCACGGCCGGGGAAGCGGGGCUGCCGGGCUCCAGGGUCUCACCCCGGGGCUCCUCUGCCAUGGCCUCCGGGUACAGUCCACGGGGACACCACACACAUACACACGCCAUGUGUGCACACUUUUUCCUGCUCCGUUUGUUGGAAGCACCUCUUCAAGAACUCCAGUUAUCCUCAGGUCGGCUUGUCUUGUCUAUUAAUACGGAUUAGUUUGUGAAGUUCUUCAUAAAAACUUACUUGUUAAA
This is a long non-coding RNA of Felis catus (domestic cat), 1357 nucleotides long. RefSeq lists it as uncharacterized. The transcript has 2 exons. NCBI's taxonomy places the organism in Eukaryota, Metazoa, Chordata, Mammalia, Carnivora, Felidae. The record is from RefSeq and is a predicted model, not a curated record.